AGGUCCAGCCUGCCCAGUGACUCUGUUCAACGGCCGCGGUAUCCUAACCGUGCGAAGGUAGCGUAAUCACUUGUUCUUUAAUUGAGGACUAGUAUGAAUGGCACCACGAGGGUUAUACUGUCUCCCCUUUCUAAUCAGUGAAACUGAUCUUCCCGUGAAGAAGCGGGAAUUUUCAUAUAAGACGAGAAGACCCUAUGGAGCUUUAAACUUACUACAUAUGCUUGAACAUUUUUAAUUUCAGAAAACCAAAUUACAGCCCAGCAUCUAUGAUUAAUAAGUUUUCGGUUGGGGUGACCGCGGAGCAAAAUCUAACCUCCGCACUGAAAGGACCUUUAACCUUAGCCAAGAGCCACGACCCUACGCAUCAAUAACUUGACACUAAUUGACCCAAUAUAUUGACCAACGAACCAAGUUACCCUAGGGAUAACAGCGCAAUCCACUUCAAGAGCCCCUAUCGACAAGUGGGUUUACGACCUCGAUGUUGGAUCAGGGUAUCCCAGUGGUGCAGCCGCUACUAAAGGUUCGUUUGUUCAACGAUUAAAACCCU
Molecule: ribosomal RNA, 547 nt
Filed under: Scythrophrys sawayae (Banhado frog)
Lineage: Eukaryota; Metazoa; Chordata; Amphibia; Anura; Leptodactylidae
Description: partial 16S ribosomal RNA
Rfam family: Bacterial large subunit ribosomal RNA
Source: RNAcentral